UAGAAAUAUUACUUAAUCUGCUAAAUUAGGUUUGGGGAAGUUAUUUCUCCGUUUCUGU
This 58-nucleotide transfer RNA is filed under the name Berghia stephanieae. RNAcentral describes it as "tRNA-Ser". The record is from RNAcentral. Lineage: Eukaryota; Metazoa; Mollusca; Gastropoda; Nudibranchia; Aeolidiidae.